UACAGAGGGGGCAAGCGUUAUUCGGAAUUAUUGGGCGUAAAGGGCGCGUAGGCGGCCUUGCAAGUGACGGGUGAAAUCCCUCGGCUUAACCGAGGAACUGCCUGUCAGACUGCAUGGCUUGAGACCGGGAGAGGUGAGUGGAAUUCCCAGUGUAGCGGUGAAAUGCGUAGAUAUUCGCAAGAACACCAGUGGCGAAGGCGGCUCACUGGCCCGGUACUGACGCUGAGGUGCGAAAGCGUGGGGAGCAAACAGG
Molecule: ribosomal RNA, 253 nt
Filed under: uncultured bacterium
Lineage: Bacteria
Description: partial 16S ribosomal RNA
Rfam family: Bacterial small subunit ribosomal RNA
Source: RNAcentral